RNA transcript from Eupeodes corollae, 1441 nucleotides. It is a transcript of the gene named glucosamine-6-phosphate isomerase, with no coding region annotated. The record is from RefSeq and is a predicted model, not a curated record. NCBI's taxonomy places the organism in Eukaryota, Metazoa, Arthropoda, Insecta, Diptera, Syrphidae. The transcript has 6 exons.
GACAAGACCGAGGUAGUUGACCCACUUUUUGUGGUCAAAGAAUGUAUUCUAAACUUUCAAUUCUUGUUUAGUUAAUUUAAUUUUCUCCUUUUUUAUUCCAGUUUCAUAUUUGUACCUUAAAUUUUAAUAUUUUCCAUUGACUUUUAAGCGUUCUAUUCUUAAAAAAUCAGUGCAAAGUAUACAAACGUACUAAGAGGUAUACAACCCGAUAAAGGAGAUAAACUAAAAGCCAUUUAUACUUAUCUUAAUAACUUAAUUGUUCAAGCAUAAUUGAAUAAUAUUUCUGCAAUAAAAGAUAAACCUAUUCUUUAAACAAGAAUGAAGUUGGUAAUUUUGGAAACAACAAAUGCUGUGGGCGAAUGGGCCGCUAAAUAUGUGAUGAAAAGGAUUAAUGAAUUCAAUCCAGGACCAAAUAAAUUCUUUGUUUUGGGAUUGCCAACUGGUAGUACACCUUUAGGGAUGUACAGAAAACUUAUUGAACUUCAUAAAGCUGGUAAAGUUUCCUUUAAAUAUGUGAAAACCUUCAACAUGGAUGAAUAUGUUGGCCUUCCUCGUGAUCAUCACGAAAGCUAUCACUACUUUAUGUGGGAUAAUUUCUUCAAACACAUCGAUAUCGAUCCAUCGAAUGUUCAUAUACUCAAUGGAAAUGCCCCUGACCUUGUAGCCGAAUGCAAUGCAUUCGAAGUUGAAAUAAAAAAGGCCGGUGGCGUUGAAUUGUUUAUUGGUGGCAUUGGACCUGAUGGUCAUAUUGCAUUUAACGAACCAGGAUCGUCUUUGGUUUCAAGAACUCGAGUUAAAACUCUGGCUCAAGAUACAUUGGAAGCAAAUGCUAGAUUUUUUGAUAACGACAUGAGUAAGGUUCCCAAACAAGCAUUAACUGUAGGUGUUGGAACUGUGAUGGAUUCGAAAGAAGUUAUGAUCCUCGUUACUGGGGCACACAAGUCGUUUGCAUUGUACAAAGCUAUAGAAGAAGGUGUCAAUCAUAUGUGGACCGUUAGUGCAUUCCAACAGCAUGAAAAUACUUUGAUGGUAUGUGAUGAAGAUGCAACACUAGAACUUCGUGUUAAGACUGUGAAAUAUUUCAAGGGAUUAUUUAUUGAUGUUCACGAAAAGAUGAUUGACUAAGCAUCAGGAUUUCCAGAGUUUAAAAAAUAUCAAACGUAAAAGAAAAAUACAAAAUAAACUUAAUUGCAUUUAUAUCCAUUCAACAAUUUGCUGUCCUUGGGUUUGUAUACAUUACCGGUUUGAUGGGAAUACACUCAAAACUGAUUGAUGAAAUGUAAACGGAAAGUUAUCAAUUAGAACUUUUUUAAUUCUUUUUACUAAAUGUUGAGACAUUUGAUUAAACUAAAAGAACUUAUGUAUCUGUUGAUAGUUUUAGUUUUUUAUUAAGUCAAAUAUAUUUUUAUACCAAUUAUCCUCUCCCAAAUAUAAAUAUAAA